UGGUUGACCUCGGAUCAGGUAGGGAUACCCGCUGAACUUAAGCAUAUCAAUAAGCGGAGGAAAAGAAACCAACAGGGAUUGCCUCAGUAACGGCGAGUGAAGCGGCAAAAGCUCAAAUUUGAAAUUGGCUCUUUCAGGGUCCGAGUUGUAAUUUGUAGAAGAUGCUUCGGGUGUGGUCCCGGUCUAAGUUCCUUGGAACAGGACGUCAUAGAGGGUGAGAAUCCCGUAUGUGACUGGGUACCUACGCUCAUGUGAAGCUCUUUCGACGAGUCGAGUUGUUUGGGAAUGCAGCUCAAAAUGGGUGGUAAAUUUCAUCUAAAGCUAAAUAUUGGCCAGAGACCGAUAGCGCACAAGUAGAGUGAUCGAAAGAUGAAAAGCACUUUGGAAAGAGAGUUAAACAGUACGUGAAAUUGUUGAAAGGGAAGCGCUUGCAAUCAGACUUGCGCCUAGUUGAUCAUCCGGGCUUCUGCCCGGUGCACUCGAUUAGGCUCAGGCCAGCAUCGGUUUGGGUGGUUGGAUAAAGGCUUGGGGAACGUAGCCUCCUUCGGGGGGUGUUAUAGCCCCAGGUGCAAUGCAGCCUACCUGGACCGAGGACCGCGCUUCGGCUAGGAUGCUGGCGUAAUGGUUGUAAGCGACCCGUCUUGAAUCACGGACCAAGGAGUCUAACAUUUAUGCGAGUGUUUGGGUGUUAAACCCAUAC
Molecule: ribosomal RNA, 700 nt
Filed under: uncultured Ascomycota
Lineage: Eukaryota; Fungi; Ascomycota
Description: eukaryotic LSU rRNA
Rfam family: Eukaryotic large subunit ribosomal RNA
Source: RNAcentral